RNAcentral lists this ribosomal RNA (253 nucleotides) under uncultured bacterium. RNAcentral describes it as "partial 16S ribosomal RNA". It matches the Rfam family "Bacterial small subunit ribosomal RNA", at positions 524 to 776 of the family's 1533-position model. The record is from RNAcentral.
UACGAAGGGCCCAAGCGUUAUCCGGAAUUAUUGGGCGUAAAGCGCAUGUAGGCGGUUUGUUAAGUCUGGUGUGAAAGCUCAAGGCCUAACCUUGAAAUUGCAUUGGAAACUGGCAAACUAGAAUACUGGAGGGGUAAGUGGAAUUCCAUGUGUAGCGGUGGAAUGCGUAGAUAUAUGGAGGAACACCAAUGGCGAAGGCAGCUUACUGGACAGUUAUUGACGCUGAGAUGCGAAAGCGUGGGGAGCAAACAGG